RNAcentral lists this ribosomal RNA (206 nucleotides) under uncultured bacterium. RNAcentral describes it as "partial 16S ribosomal RNA". It matches the Rfam family "Bacterial small subunit ribosomal RNA", at positions 568 to 774 of the family's 1533-position model. The record is from RNAcentral.
CACGUAGGCGGGUCUUUAAGUCAGGGGUGAAAUCCUGGAGCUCAACUCCAGAACUGCCUUUGAUACUGAGGAUCUCGAGUUCGGGAGAGGUGAGUGGAACUGCGAGUGUAGAGGUGAAAUUCGUAGAUAUUCGCAAGAACACCAGUGGCGAAGGCGGCUCACUGGCCCGAUACUGACGCUGAGGUGCGAAAGCGUGGGAGCAAACA